This 473-nucleotide ribosomal RNA is filed under the name uncultured bacterium. RNAcentral's name for it is "SSU rRNA". It matches the Rfam family "Bacterial small subunit ribosomal RNA", at positions 26 to 518 of the family's 1533-position model. The record is from RNAcentral.
AGAACGAACGCUGGCGGCAUGCCUAACACAUGCAAGUCGAACGCUCUUGGGGCUUCGGUCUCAGGGGAGUGGCGCACGGGUGAGUAGCGCGUGGGAACCUGCCCUGUUGUGGGGGAUAACCGAGGGAAACUUCGGCUAAUACCGCAUAAGCCGGUUGUCUUGAAGGAGAUGGCCGGGAAAGAUUUAUCGCGACAGGAGGGGCCCGCGUCGGAUUAGCUAGUUGGUGGGGUAACGGCCCACCAAGGCGGUGAUCCGUAGCUGGUCUGAGAGGAUGAUCAGCCACACUGGGACUGAGACACGGCCCAGACUCCUACGGGAGGCAGCAGUGGGGAAUAUUGGACAAUGGGCGCAAGCCUGAUCCAGCAAUGCCGCGUGAGUGAUGAAGGCCUUAGGGUUGUAAAGCUCUUUCGCCCGCGACGAUGAUGACGGUAGCGGGAGAAGAAGCCCCGGACUAACUUCGUGCCAGCAGCCGC